Molecule: long non-coding RNA, 899 nt
Organism: Carassius gibelio (silver crucian carp)
Lineage: Eukaryota; Metazoa; Chordata; Actinopteri; Cypriniformes; Cyprinidae
Exons: 3
Source: RefSeq, a predicted model, not a curated record
GAUGUUUUAACAUUUGGAAAUAAUCUAUGAUCAAAUAACGAGUUAAGAAUGAGGUGCUAAAAAUCAUGGUUCAUAUUACUUCCAUUUUAUCCAUCACAGUAGAAAUAGAGUAUUAUGAUAGUAUGCUGCUCCAAACAUAGCUUCAUUUCUUUAUUUUGUCAAUAUUCUAUCCAUCUUCUCAGUUUUUCCAUGUUAUAACAUUUUAAACUCGGUAAGGCUUUGUUGGUUACAAAUUGGUAAAUCCAGCUAUUUUUAUAUAUUCAUGAUAAUGUCAGACACUCCAGGGGAUCAGCUGUCAUACAUUAUUAAGCUUUUCCAAACUUACUUUCCUCUGUUUCAAUCAAAAGUGUUUCUUGCUGCUUCUUUUCCCUAUUGCAUUUUGGUUAAGUGCUUAGAAUUUUGGAAUGAGAAUUAUCAGACUAUAACACAUUGCAAAAUAUGGCCUUAUAGGCUAUGUUUGAUGCAGAGUUACCAUGUGAGAUGGUGAGUAAGGUACACCUAGUUGACCUGGCAGGAAGUGAAAGAGCUAAUGCCACACAGGCUACUGGCAUCCGACUGAAGGAGGGAGCCAACAUCAAUAGAUCUUUGGUUACUCUGGGAAUUGUCAUCUCUACUUUAGCUGAUCUGUCCGUUGGUGAUGGAAUGAAAAAUAUGUUUUUCCAGAAAGUUUCCAUACAACAAAAGUUACAUUUGGGCUGUCAAGCUCCAAAAAAGGCCUAAGAAAAGCCAUCUCACCUGCUGACAUAAACUGUAGCGAAACUCUGAACAUGCUUUGUUAUGCCAGCCUAGCCAAGAACAUUUUAAAUAAGCCCACUGUGAAUGAGGACAGCAAUGUAAAGAUUAUCAGAGACCUGCAAGCUGAAAUUGUCCGUCUGAAAGCGCAGCUGUCUGCAGGAAAU